Long non-coding RNA from Pteronotus mesoamericanus, 162 nucleotides. RefSeq lists it as uncharacterized. The transcript has 3 exons. The record is from RefSeq and is a predicted model, not a curated record. Lineage: Eukaryota; Metazoa; Chordata; Mammalia; Chiroptera; Mormoopidae.
CGCCGUGACCCCUGGCCCUGCCUCCAGGCACGCCGCCUGCGGGUCCUCGGGGGAGCCAUGGACUACACAGGAAUGCUCAAGUGCUGCUCGCCCCACCCCCUGAACUUUCUCAUGUUCCUGUCCCUCCUGGUCUUCUUCUGCACGGGGGUCCUCAGCCCAAGA